CCUCCUUUGUUGGCCGAAUAGGGCAUGUGGUCCCACUCCUCAUUAAGUACAGAGGCAGAGGGAAAGGGCUGCUGUCCCCCACUUAGCGUCAUGUCUUUGGUGCAGGAUGCUUCCCUUCUGCUGCUCAAGCACUAGGACACUG
Small nucleolar RNA from Nycticebus coucang (slow loris), 142 nucleotides. RefSeq annotates it as small nucleolar RNA SNORA57. The record is from RefSeq and is a predicted model, not a curated record. NCBI's taxonomy places the organism in Eukaryota, Metazoa, Chordata, Mammalia, Primates, Lorisidae. The transcript has a single exon.